RNAcentral lists this ribosomal RNA (108 nucleotides) under Scophthalmus maximus (turbot). Lineage: Eukaryota; Metazoa; Chordata; Actinopteri; Pleuronectiformes; Scophthalmidae. The record is from RNAcentral.
GCUUACGGCCACACCGCCUGGUUCAGCCCGAUCUCGGAAGCUAAGAUAGGUUGGGCCUGGUUAGUAUUUGGAUGGGAGACCGCCUGGGAAUACCAGGUGCUGUAAGCU